RNAcentral lists this ribosomal RNA (429 nucleotides) under uncultured bacterium. Its description in RNAcentral is "bacterial SSU rRNA". It matches the Rfam family "Bacterial small subunit ribosomal RNA", at positions 355 to 776 of the family's 1533-position model. The record is from RNAcentral.
UGGGGAAUUUUGGACAAUGGGCGCAAGCCUGAUCCAGCCAUGCCGCGUGAGUGAAGAAGGCCUUCAGGUUGUAAAGCUCUUUCGGCCGGGACGAAAUCGCACGGGUUAACACCGCGUGUGGAUGACGGUACCGGAAUAAGAAGCACCGGCUAACUACGUGCCAGCAGCCGCGGUAAUACGUAGGGUGCGAGCGUUAAUCGGAAUUACUGGGCGUAAAGGGUGCGCAGGCGGUUUUGUAAGCCAGAUGUGAAAUCCCCGGGCUUAACCUGGGAACUGCAUUUGGGACUGCAAGGCUAGAGUACGGCAGAGGGGGGUAGAAUUCCUGGUGUAGCAGUGAAAUGCGUAGAUAUGUGGAGGAACACCGAUGGCGAAGGCAGCCCCCUGGGUUAACACUGACGCUCAGGCACGAAAGCGUGGGGAGCAAACAGG